AUACAGAGGGUGCGAGCGUUAAUCGGAAUUACUGGGCGUAAAGCGCGCGUAGGCGGCUUAUUAAGUCAGAUGUGAAAUCCCCGGGCUCAACCUGGGAACUGCAUCUGAUACUGGUAAGCUAGAGUUUUGGAGAGGGAAGUAGAAUUUCAGGUGUAGCGGUGAAAUGCAUAGAGAUCUGAAGGAAUACCAGUGGCGAAGGCGACUUCCUGGCCAAAAACUGACGCUGAGGUGCGAAGGCGUGGGUAGCAAACGGGAUUAGAUACCCUAGUAGUCC
This 274-nucleotide ribosomal RNA is filed under the name uncultured bacterium. RNAcentral's name for it is "partial 16S ribosomal RNA". It matches the Rfam family "Bacterial small subunit ribosomal RNA", at positions 523 to 796 of the family's 1533-position model. The record is from RNAcentral.